CCAGCAGCCGCGGUAAUUCCAGCUCCAAUAGCGUAUAUUAAAAUUGUUGCAGUUAAAAAGCUCGUAGUUGAAUUUCUGCUAAAAAUAACCGGUCUGCUUUUAAUAAAGGUGGUAUCUUGGUGUGUUUUUAGCAAUAAUGUCCUUUGAAAUGUUUUUUACUUCAUUGUAAUAAAUUAUAUUCAGGAUUUUUACUUUGAGAAAAUUAGAGUGUUUCUAGCAGGCUAAUGCUUUGAAUACUGCAGCAUGGAAUAA
This 252-nucleotide ribosomal RNA is filed under the name Hepatozoon felis. RNAcentral describes it as "partial small subunit ribosomal RNA". It matches the Rfam family "Eukaryotic small subunit ribosomal RNA", at positions 567 to 817 of the family's 1831-position model. Lineage: Eukaryota; Apicomplexa; Hepatozoidae. The record is from RNAcentral.